RNAcentral lists this ribosomal RNA (339 nucleotides) under Salmonella enterica subsp. enterica serovar Bareilly. RNAcentral describes it as "partial 23S ribosomal RNA". It matches the Rfam family "Bacterial large subunit ribosomal RNA", at positions 50 to 428 of the family's 2925-position model. The record is from RNAcentral. Lineage: Bacteria; Pseudomonadati; Pseudomonadota; Gammaproteobacteria; Enterobacterales; Enterobacteriaceae.
UGAAGGACGUGCUAAUCUGCGAUAAGCGCCGGUAAGGUGAUAUGAACCGUUAUAACCGGCGAUUUCCGAAUGGGGAAACCCAGUGCAAUUCGUUGCACUAUCAUUACCUGAAUACAUAGGGUAAUGAAGCGAACCGGGAGAACUGAAACAUCUAAGUACCCCGAGGAAAAGAAAUCAAACGAGAUUCCCCCAGUAGCGGCGAGCGAACGGGGAGCAGCCCAGGACCUUAAUCAGCAUCAGUGUUAAGAGAACAGUCUGGAAAGGCUGGCCACAGCAGGUGAUAGCCCUGUAUCUGAAAGCACUGGUGUUGUGAGUCCGAUGAGUAAGGCGGGACACGUG